Molecule: ribosomal RNA, 119 nt
Filed under: Anolis carolinensis (green anole)
Lineage: Eukaryota; Metazoa; Chordata; Lepidosauria; Squamata; Anolidae
Source: RNAcentral
CUUUGUAGCCUAAAUAUCCUAAAGGCACCAGAUCCCAUCUGACCUUGGAAGCUUAGCAAUGCCAGACUUGGUUCGUACUUGGAUGGGAAACCACCAACAAAUCCCAAAUGCUGCAGCCU